Molecule: long non-coding RNA, 11136 nt
Filed under: Homo sapiens (human)
Lineage: Eukaryota; Metazoa; Chordata; Mammalia; Primates; Hominidae
Description: HSALNT0293840
Source: RNAcentral
GCUUCUGAGAGGCGAAUGCCUGAGAAGGGAGGAGGCGUUUUUGCUGAGUUGCUCGCUUCGCGGAGCUAAUAACCUUUUCAGGCAGGUGUUGCCUUUGCUCACGCCCCAUGACCUGUCGAAAGGGUGUUGAUUGUGGCCGUCUGGAGGUGUCGUGACAUGCCAGGGAAGGGUUAGGAGGCUUCCAAGGACGCAUGGUGACAGGCGUGAUUUGAGGGGAAAGGCCUGGAAAAGGCCUCCUAAGGCCUGUGUCCAUUGCGUUAAUUGCUAUCCUAGGGAGACUUAAAAUUGGCCCAAGGCUUUUGAGCUGCCGUGAAUAAACAGUGCUCUGGGCUUUGUGUCUUAUAAAGUCAUUUGCAUUUCAGUGGGAAUGCAUGUCUUAGCCUAUUCCUUAAAUUUUCGUAUGUCCGCAUUCCCUACCUGAAAACGUGCAGGGCGAUACGUUUUAAGGCAGCAAGUUUUAGGCUGGGAAUGGGGACAUAGGAAAAUUGGGGGGGGGGGGUAGGUUGAGAGUAUUAGAAGCAAACUUAAUGUCUCAUUCUGUGGCAGCAUUUCUUAACCUUUUUGGGGUCUUUUGAGAUUUAGACGAAAACUAAGAGCCGUUUCCCUGGGAAGAGAAAUGUCAACACAGUAUUUUGCCUGUAAUCGGAGGAACCCAUCUACAGACUCCCAGGCCCUGAGCCCCACACUUCCAGAUAACAAGGGUAGUGGCAAAACUCUGAUCUGUCAGAAGACAUGAGAUCUAGUCCCAUCUCUGCCACUUCCUGGGUGGAUGACCUCAGCCAGGUAUAUUUAAACAUGGAGAGAACAAGUGACGCAUAACAACUCUAUGAGGUGCAACCUAUCCAGUCACUUUCCUUUUGAGAGCUGAAGUACCUGAAGCUUUGGAGAUGGUAAAGGAAUUAUUGAGGGUCAUACUGGCUAAGAAGAGUGCUAAAAGUGGAGACCUUUAUCACAAAGGUAUCUUGUUUAUUUGCUUAUCUAUCAAGCCCCAAUAUUUUCUUCCUGCAUGGCAGUAACAACUGUCACCUUACCCAUAUUUUAUCUUCUUCUAAAACUUGAGUAGAGAUUUCUCCCUUUUCUACAAGAACAAGUGGUAAAUGAUCAAGGAUUAAACCAAAAUACCUGUUUGCACACCCAUACAAUCAAAACUGAAAUGAAGAGCUGUGACCAGUAACACCAAGGGUCAAAAUGUCACCUAUUUCCAGAAAUUGCAGGGCUCCAUACAAACCCCAGACAUUUUGCAAAAUGCCUCUCUCAGAUACUGAAAAAAAAGUCUGGUAUAUACUUUCAAAAGGAAUUUUAUCUGUAUGUUAGAUAAAAUAUACAAUAUAUACUGCAUGCUCCUUAGCAUGAAAGUAAUUACAAUUUCAUGUUUAAUAUUAACUCUUUCUCUGCCUUGCUUGUUUGUUAUUGAGGAAAAGGCAGAAGAUUCAACUCCAUUAGUGAGACACCGAAAACAUCUGUCUCACAUGUGGCCCCUGGCUUCCUCCCCAAAGUAACACAAUAGCUCCCUGGGCAUAGAGAACGAACCUGUCACCCUGUUGAAGAGUUUUUGUUUUUCCAUAAAAUAACAUGGACUGGGCCACAUGCAUAGGUAACUACUUUGUGGUACUUUGCUAAACUGCUGUUAUUGAUGUUGUUUUUCAGUAAAUAUGGUUUUAUAAUUGAUAAGGAAACAAAUGCCAAGAGGUCAGAGCUAAAUUUAAAAUUCAGACACUUUUUUUAAGAGACAUGGUCUGGCUCUGUCACCCAGGCUGAGGUGCAGUGGUGCAAUCACAGCUCACUGCAGCCUCAAACUCCUGGGCUCAAGCAAUCCUUCUACCUCAGCCUCCCAAAUAGCCGAGACUACAGGCAAGCACCACCACAUCCGGCUAAAACAUUCAGAUACUUUAAAAUGGAUGGUGGGAAACUUUCUAAAUUGGAGCUAGAGAGCUUCUCCUGAAUGCCAGUUCUUUCCUAGUUGUUCCCUUUGUGGCAGGAAAGAUCUCAACAACUCAGUCAAACCUAAGAAGCUAUCGUGAUUUCCAAGUUUGUUAAAUUUUUUUUUUAUGAGACUGACUUGUUGGUCUUCAACCUUUCUGUGAAGUUGCAGGAAAUGUUGAGGCUCAAGUGACUUUCUUAAGGUCAUGUAAGUCAGUAAAAGAUGAACAAAUAACCCCAGAAGUACUCCCACUAGUCUACACUUCUAACCGCUAGACCACACAAGUUCACAUGUCUGAUUCAUUUUAAGAACUGAGUAGAUCUUACAAUUUUCAAAGACCCACUUGGAUAUACUCUUCAAAUAAUUUUUGAAAUCUGUCAUAACCAAAUAAAACGUACAAAUGAAAACCAACAGUUUUGCUGUUUCUAAUUCACCCUUCCUUUGUGAUAGUCAAGAGGAACCUUUCAAACUAUUAACGAUUUUAGAAAAAAGGUUAAGUACCUCUAACCAAGCAAAUCCUGGUAUAUGCAGCUAAGUCAACUGAUUUAGCACUUCUCUACUUAGCACACCAAUGUGCACUAGAAUUAAGACAGUGGUUCUCAAUUCUGCCUGCACAAAUUAGAAUCACUUGGGGAACUUAAAAAAUUCUUAUGCCCAUGCCCCACCCAAGACCAAUGAAUCAAAAUCUUUGAAUCAGCCAUUAGUAUUUUUUUAAAACCUCCCCAUGUAAUUCUAAUGUAUAGCCAGUAUUGAAAACAACUGAUGUGAAGCUGUGUUAAAGUUCUGAAUUGAAUAAAUUUGUGUAGUUCUGUUUAUUUGUUAUACUUGUUAACUACACUUUUGGAAGAAAUCGGAUAGUAAAGAAAAUGAGAUUUUUAUAUAAAUGUGUAACAAAGCAGAAGGGCCCAAUGAGAGGUCUUACUUAAGGGGGUUUAUACAAGGGAGGUAUUAUUUCUGACUGUGGGGUGUUAAGGAAGGCUUCUAAGGAGUUGGUAACAUUUGAACUGGAUCUUGAAGGCUAGAAUAGGCAGAUAUGAAAAGAAAAUAAGUUUCAAGCAUAGGUCAAGUCCUAUUGAAGAUGAUUGUGGGGGAAACAGUCAGUGGACAUAAUGUGAAGACAUAAAAGGGAAAUAAGGUGAAUAGGUAAGUUGGGGCCACUUCUGAAGGGCCUUGAAUUUCAUGCAAAAUUAUCUGGUAGGAGCUGGGAAGUCACUAAGUUGCUGAACAAAGGCCUGCCUUGAUCAGAGUUAAGCUUCAGUGAGAUGAUUUUUAAAGCUAGAGGGAAGGAUGGACUAGUUGAAUGAAGAGACACACGGCAAGGAGACCUGCUUGGGAGGGCUAUAAUUGCAGCAGUCUAGGCAAGUAAUGAAGGCCUAAUGUGGGUUAGUAGCAGUGGCAAUGGAGAAAGCUAACUGUAUACAGAACUAAAAGGACUUAGCAAUUGAUUAGAUAUGAGAGAUAAAGAGAAGCACAAUUCUGGGUAAUUAGGAGGAUACCAAUGCCACCAAAAGGGGCCAUUUGAAAGGCAAAAUGACUUAAUCUCAAAUUUGAGAGUUUGAAAUGCUUGGGAGAUAUCCAAAUGAAGGUGCCCAGCAAAAAAUAAAAAAAAAUUUGGUCUACGAUUUAGGAGAGAUGUCAGAGCUGAAGAUACCAUUUUGGGGGGAGAAACACAAGAAUUAUUUGAUGAGGAUGACCAAUUUUCUUUCUAGGUAACUCUACUUUUCUUCCUUAUAUUUGUCUUGAUUUUUUGAACUAUUAUCUCAUUAGUACUCUUCCAAACCUCUUGCAUCCUUGCUUUAGCUUUUCUACCUAGCAAAACCUACACCCUGAGAUAAAUGUUGCAAUCUGCUUUCUCCAUACCUAUAAUAGAUGGCUGGAAACUACUGGUGGUAUGGAGAUAUGGGGAAGAAGGGAACCCUGAAGGUCGAUACCACUACAAAUCCAUGAUCUGUAGCCUCAUCUGGAUACUUAAUGUCACUUGUCAAUUUUCUCUCACCCUGAAUUAGCUCCUUUUCUGGAUCCUCUCAAUGACUACUCCAUUAUCAUUACAGUUGACCCCUGAGCAAUGCAGGCAUUAGGGACACUGACCCCCUCCCCCAUGCAGUUGAAAAUCUGUAUAUAACUUUUGACUCCCCAAAACUUAACUAUAAAUAGCCUACUGUUGACCAGAAGCCUUAGAGACAACAUAAGCAGUCGAUUAACACAUAUUUUAUGUUAUAUGCUUAUAAUAAAUAUUACAUAAUGCAUAUGUAAGGAUAUGUAUUAGAUCCUUAUAAUAAAGUAAGCUAGAGGAAAAAAAAUGUUAAGCAAAUCAUAAAGAAGAGAAAAUAUAUUUACUAUUCAUUAAGUGGAAGUAGAUCAUCAUAAAGGUCUUUAUCCUUGUCUUCACAUUGAGUAGGCUGAGGAGGAGGAGAAAGAGAAGUGGGGUUGGUCUUGCUAUCUUAAGUGUGGCAGAGGUGGAAAAAUAUCCGCAUAGAAGUGGACUUGCACAGUUCAAACCCAUAAACCCAUGUUGUUCAAGGGUCAAUUGUGUUUUCACUCUUUAUACAACCGUAACUUCUGUACUCUUAGAAGAGAACCUCAUACCCUACUUCACUGAAAAAUGAAGUUGUUAGGCAUGAUGUAAAAAUCUCUCCCUUCUACCUAUAAAUGCAUCUGCAGCCACGCUGUUCUUUUCUUCCUGUCUCAGAAGAUGUAGUAUUUCUCUCCUGUUCACACUAUUCCAUCUGCCUGUGCCAUGAUCACAUUUCCUUGUGCCUCCUCUGAGACCUGCCCUGUUCCAUCAUGUGUAUCUACCUUGCCCGCAGCUUCAAAUUAUUUUUCUUUAUUGGCUCCUUCUCCAUACCGUAUGCUUAAGUCUGUUUCUAUCCAAAACAAAUGGUUACUGUUCAAUCUCUUUCCUACCCUUAUCAUCAGGUUCCUCAAAAGAGAAGCCAACGUUUACUGACUCCACUUCCUUAUCUUAACUUGAGAUGCAGGGGUUCAUAGACUCCUUCAAAUUAUAAAAAGGCUUUUAUUUUUUCAAAUGUGCAUUUUUUUCCCCCUGGAGAAGGAGUAUAGAUUUUACUCCUACUUUCAAUGUAUAACCUUCUAUCUCAAUGUAUAACCUUGGCUGCAAAGAAUUAGCUAGUGGCACUUAAUUUUAUAUGUUUGGGAACUUGAUUGAUUUUGGAGCAUGUAAAAGUUGUGUAAGUCUUAGUAUUUUAGAGCAACAUUUUUUUCUGCACUGAAACCAGAAUAAUACUAGUUAUAACCUGGCAAUUUUUUUAUUCUCAUGAAACAUUUUUGCAGUGCAGCAGAUUUGUCACUCAUUGCAAUGAAAAACCUGUAAGUGAUAAAAAACAUUAUAAUGUGGGGCCUCAAAACUCACUGAAAAGAAAAUUAGUAUAUAAAUAAAAUGGAAAUAGUCCUGGAGAUUCAAUUACUGUAAUGUCUUUUCACCACCACAAAAAUUGCAGGUGUUCACCAAGCAGUUUUGAGCAGUUUCUGAAGUGCUUUUGCUGCACUCGGAAUUUUCAAUGUUAAGCCUUGUGUAUUCUGAUAUGUUCCCAUCUUUAAGGCAGAUUAUACUUGAGCUGUACUAAAAUGACAAACAGCCAAAUCCCAAACUCAUUCAAAGCGAAUGGUGGGACAACACAAACAGCCAAUAGUGAGAAGCAGAAAAUUCCAGGCUCUUUUUCACCAUUCUGGCUUGUAAAAUCUGCUUUAAAACUUUGUAAAAAUAUUUAAACAAGGAAUAAAAUGGAAGCAUUUGAAUUUUGCUUCCAAAAACCACAGGACUUUAUUGGUUAACUGGAAUUAUCAGAAUGAGAAAAGCCAGAGGCAGGAAGAAUAUUUAAAAGCUGUUGAGUCUCUAUAAUAUACAAUCUAAAUGGAAGUGUUUAACAACAGAGGAGAAAACACACUCGGUGAUCAGGAUCUUGAAUUUAACGAGCACUCUUAAUACACCUGGGAAUAAUUUUUUUCUCCUUAUAACUUUCAUUUAAGUUUGCAAGGCUAUGUUUUAAAAUACAUUCAGUAAAACUAGUUAAAGGAAGAGUUUGCCUCUUGAGUAAAAAAUUUCCAUUAGGACCCAUUAAUAUUUGAUAAAUGCUUCCAAUUCAACGAACAAAUAUCAACAUGUAAAACAUUUAAAGAAUUCUCCAGAAUUGUAUCUGUGAUGCAUCAGAUAAAUAACUAAAAGACUUAGUGCCACCUCUAUCGACCUGGUGAUUAACUGCUCUAUAACCAAUUCUUCUAUUUUGUCAGUCCACAGAAAACAGUUACGUCCAUGGAAGAUAAAAGCAAUAUUUGGAAUAAAGUUUUGAAUCAAAGAAACAUUUUAAAAAGUUAAAGUGUUUACUAAUUUUAUAACUAAUGAAUUAAAAGAUAAUCUCACAUUUACAUCUAACUUUGUUUUUUGUUAAUUUUAUUAAAGAUUUUAUAAAAAUUGUAUUUGCAAAAAGGCAAUGCUGGAUUUGGUUAAAAGUAGCAAUUCUUUUAAGGCUAAAUAGUCCCAUCUUUAUCAGACUGUAUUCACAUGGGAAAAUAUGAAUCAUUAUACAGAUUACAUCUCUAUAAUGAAAGUCUUUUCUUCAGUCACAAUAGUAAGCAACUAUUUUUGUUUUUUCACGUGCAAUGCAAUUUUACCAGUGUUAUCAAAUCUAUGCCAUAAGUCCAUAAUAUCAACAAUAAUUUAUCCAAGUUUUUCCCAUCCAUUCAUUCUUUUGAUGUAUCAACAAAUAUUCACUGAAUGCUUACUAAGUGCUAGAGUAAGUGCUUGGCACUAGGAAGACAAAAGUAAUCCAGACAAUGUAUUUGACUGCAUGGAGAUUAUGUUUUGGUAAGAAAACUGCUUCAAAUUUACCUCACUUACUAUAGGUAUCUUUCCUGGUUUAGCACUGUUUACAUAUUGUCCAAACACAAUAUUGGAUAAAUGGAAAUUCUCUUAUUCUCAUGUAGAAACUUACGUGUGUGUGUGUGUGUUUAUGUGUGUGUAUAUAUAUAUAUAUGUGUGUGUGUGUGUAUAUAUAUAUUAUAUAUAUAUAUAUGCUUUUUGCUUUUGGUAAAUUACAUGUUUAUGUUCCUAAAACCGACUUGUGGGUCAUGGAAGGUGAGAAGGCAGGGGAAGGUAAAAGUCAUGAAUAUGAGAAAAUAAAGGUUAGUCACCAUAAUUAAACAUAGUGGCUGUACAACUCAAGCUCAGAAAUGCCUAAAUUAAUUCUCCUAGGGGAAUAAUUGACCUGUGGAGAAAGGGAGGUAAGAAUCAAUCAGAGCCAGAAUGAAACUAAUAAUACAGUAAUGAAUGUAACAGUAAUGAAAAUUAACAAUAUGGGUUUUUGGGAGCUGAAAUAUACAAGGUUUGGUUUCUGCACUUUUGAAAUUAAGAACAGGAGGCAAAAUGUUACCAAAUAACACUGACAUUUAAGGCAAGGAGAGAGAAAUAUGUUGCAGAUAUGUAGGAAAGUGGGUGAAAGGAGUUAGGAAAGAAAAAGAGGCAAAUACACCUUUGAUGUCAUUCCCAGUCUCUUCAUGGGCCACAUUCCACCAGUUACCCUCUAGUUCUUCCAGCCUUGCCUGUCUAACGUCUCCUUCCCCUCUGCUACCAAAAUGCUCAAACUUCCACUAUCCUGAGAAUCUUCUGACAAUUUAUCAUAUCAUAUUGGAUUAUAAACUCCCUCUCCUUUCUGCUUUUGCCAACCAUAAGAAAAGAGUAGUCGGCAUUUGCUCCGUCUAGUGCCCCAACACCAUAUGUAAUACUAUAGCAGCCUUUGCAAUCUGGUCUCCACUCCUAUCAUUCUGUAGAAACUGCUUUCUUGAAGGUUACCCACACCACCUAAUUGCCAGGACCACAGUCCUUAGUCCUUAUUCUCAUUUUCGUUUAGCAGACAGCAACUACUUCAUCUCUAGAAAGGUAGUUACUACAUUUUUCUUGACACUUAAACUUACUUUGGACUCUUUAACAGUGUUCUGGUUGAUUACAUACCUGUCUGAGGCACACUGCAGUGCAAAGUACAUAUUUUGAAGUCAGAUAGGGUCUGAGUCUGAAUCUUAGCUCUGACCUUGGGCAAAGUAUAUGUUUUUACAGAGCCUAUUUCUUCCGUUGGUGAGUGGAACACUACCAAAUUACCAGACUGAAUUGUGAGAAUCAAAUAAAAUAAUGUAGAGUCUAGCAGUGUUUGCAUUUAGUUGGUGCUCAAAGUGUCUGUUUCCCCUCCCUCCCCUUUUCUGCUUUCUCUGUAUUCUUCAGGCAUCCUUGGCCUUGAUCCAGCUGUCCCACAAAGUUCUGUCCCAUCUUGACUCUGCAUUUAACAUCCUCUGCCUCUUGCCAUUUCAUCCAUCCCAAUGCUGACACUAAAAUCUAGGUCUCUGAUUUUCAUCACCAUUCUUCAGCUCUAGUUCCACAUUUUCAACUCCUGUCAGGGAGCCAUCUAACUGAUAAUCUGCCUAAAUCUUAAAUUGAACAGGAAGUCUCAGCACUUGCAAAACAGGUAUAAAACCAAGUGCAUUGCCAGGCACGAUGGCUCAUGCCUAUAAUCCCAGCACUUUGGGAGGCCAAGGCGGGUGAAUCAUCUGAGGUCAGAAGUUCGGGACCAGCCUGGCCAACAUGGUAAAAUCCUGUCUCUACUAAAAAUACAAAAAUUAGACGGGCAUGGUGGCGCAUGCCUGUAAUCCCAACUACUUCGGAGGCUGAGGCCGGAGAAUUGCUUGAACCUGGGAGGCGGGGGUUGCGGUGAGCCGAGAUUGUGCCAUUGCACUCCAGCUUGGGCAACAAGAGCGUAACUCUGUCUCAUAAAUAAAUAAAUAAAUAUAAAAUAAAAACAAAUGCAUCAUCUCUUCCAAUCAGUUCUUCCUACCUACUUCCCAGAAGGCAUCAGUAUCUUCACAGCCACCUGUCUUAAUAUCUUAAAAUUAUGUUUGACUUUCCCCAGCUUUUCAAAAUCCUGUGGAUUCUAGAGCUGUAGUGUUUCUCAUAAUUUGUCUCUUCCUUUUCAUUUCAUUGCCUCAUUGCUCUUUGUUUAACUAGGCUGUUACUAGUAGAGGCUUUGAGAAAAUCAAUUCCAUAAAAGGUGGGGGCAAGAUACAGAAUGCAAAGGAUUAAUGAGAAGCACUGGAAUUACUGAGAGCAGACUUGCUCUUCAAGAAGUUUGGUAGGUGAGUGGAUGAUAGCCUGAGGUCAAGAACAAAGGAUAGGUCUAUUUGUUUUUUCUGUUUUGUUUUUUUUAAAUUUAAAGAUGAAUAGGCUGGGCAUGGUGGCUCACACCUGUAAUCCCAGCACUUUGGGAGGCCAAGGUUGGGGAUCACUUAAGUUUAGGAGUUCAAGACCAGCCUGGGCAACAAAGUGAGACCCCUAUCUCUACAAUUUUUUUUUUUAAAGCUGAGCAGGAUGGUGCAUGCCUAUGGUCCCAGCUGCACGGGAGGCUGAGGAAGGAGGAUCACUUGAACUCAGGAGAUUAAGGCUUUAGUGAGCUGCGACUGUGCCACUGCACUUUAGCCUGGGUGACAGAGCGAGACCCUGUCUCAAAAGGAAAAAAAAUAAAGAUGAGCCAGCCCCUAAAAAUUUUAAGUACAGUGAGACAAGCAUACAUUAAUCAAGUAAUCAUACAAUUAAAUAUAAAACUGAAAACAGGAUAAGUGCUAAGAAAGAAAAGUAUAUAGUGUUGUAAAGGCCUAUGUAUAGAGAUAUUUUAUCUAGUCAGGGAAGUCAGGGAAAGUUUCGUGAGGAGGAAACACUUCCUCAAGUUCUGAAAGAUGAAGAGGAAUUAACCAAGGGAAGAGGGGAGAGAACAUUCUGGACCUGUGUGCUACAGUGGUAAAGACUAUGAUGAGAAACAUAUGAAAGAAGGUCAGAGUGACCGGAAUGGGAGAACAAGGUAGGAUGGUGUGAGAUGAGGCUGGAGAAGAAAGAAGGGCUAGACCACAGGGGUAUGUAGGCCACAAUAAAAAGUUUUUCUUUAAGAGCAAUUGAAAGCCUUUGAAGGGCUGACGCAAGGUGGAAGAUAGUAUCAGAUCUGGCUCCAGAUCUCUGAAAGACUAACCUUCCUAAAACACAGAUUUUAUGAUGUUAUUCUACUCAAAACUUACAUCAAGGGAGGAUCACUUGAACCCAGGAGUUUGAGGUUACAGUGGGCUAUGAUCACGCCACUGCACCGCAGCCUAGGCAACAGGGCGAGAUCCUGUGUCUAAAACAAACAAACGAGCAAAUGAAACUCCACAAAAAACAAAAACAAAAAAUUUAAAUGACUUUCAUUACCCACUGAAUUAAGUUUGUCUGCCAUUAAAGAAUUUAUCUCAGGGGCAGGGUAUGGUGGCUCACGCCUGUAAUCCCAACACUUUGGGAGGCCAAGGCAGGCAGAUCACUUUAGGCCAAGAGUUCGAGACCAGCCUGGCCAACAUGGCAAAACCCCAUCUCUAUUAAAAAUACAAAAAUUAGCUGGGUGUGGUGGCGCAUGCCUAUAGUCUUCAGCACUCAUGAGGAUGAGGCACAAGAAUCACUUGAACCUGGGAAGCAGAGGUUGCAGUGAGCCAAGAUCAUGUCACUGCACUCAAGCCUGGGCAACAGAGACUGUGUCUGAAAACAAACAAAAAAAAUCCAUCAGUACAACAGACCCAACCUUUCCUUCUAGUUAUCAGCCUUAUCUUGCUUUUUUCACGCUAUAGGUACUUCCUAGAAUACUCUCAUCUGUUCUAUUUCUUGAAAUCCUUUCUGUCUUUUGAACCCAUCAACUUUGUAUGGCCCCCCAAACAGAUCUUUUACUUCUGUUAUAACCUCCCAAUUGAAAUCUUUUACUUCUAUGAAUCCCAACAAUAUUUUGUGCCUUUUUCUUUUUUGGCAUUUAACACAUUCAAUUUUUUAUUGUAGCUACUUGUGCACAUGAUUUCUCCCUUUCCUCAACCUCCAGUAGGCUGUAAAGUGUUUGAGGGAAAGGGAUUUGUUUAAUCUUUGUAUUCCCUACAGGGUCUAAGACACAGUCUUACUCAUAGCAUUGCUCAAUAAACAUCUGUUUGUGUGUGUGUGUGUGUGUGUGUGUGUAUGUAAUCCUUUUUUUCUUUUUUUUUUUUGAGACAGAGUCUUGCUCUGUCACCCAGGCUGGAGUGCAGUGACACAAUCUCAGCUCACUGCAACCUCUGCUUCCUGAGUUCAAGCAAUUCUCCUGUCUCAGCAUCCUGAGUAGCUGAGAUUACAGGCGGUCCCCGCCAUCAUGCCUGGCUAAUUUUUGUAUUUUUAGGAGAGA